RNAcentral lists this transfer RNA (85 nucleotides) under Bacteroidia bacterium. RNAcentral describes it as "tRNA-Leu". It matches the Rfam family "tRNA". From Rfam's summary of the family: Transfer RNA (tRNA) molecules are approximately 80 nucleotides in length. The record is from RNAcentral. Lineage: Bacteria; Pseudomonadati; Bacteroidota; Bacteroidia.
GCCCGGGUGGCGGAAUUGGUAGACGCGCUGGACUCAAAAUCCAGUGAUAGCAAUAUCGUGUGGGUUCGAUUCCCACCUCGGGUAC